AGGGGCUAGUGCCAUGACUUUCGAGACAAGAUUUUACUUGGGACCUUCAGUACAAAAAGAAGUGACAAUAGGACCUCCUUCGCCAGCCAGAAGAGAAGCAGUAGCACUGACUCUUGUUGACCCUUACGCACGCUAGGCACUGGGGUACAAAAACGAAGAUUCGAAGAUGCAUGGUUCCUGCUCUCAAGGAUCUUCAAAGGUAGGAUGAGUAUAUGAAAUGGGUUUAAACUAUGUAAAGUGACUUUUUUUCAUGCCAAUCAAUGUCCCUGAGAGUAUGAGGUGGAGAUUCAACCCACUGAGAAAGACUGCAGAAGGGAAAUCUCACCUUCAUUGAGUUCCUACUAUGUGCAAGACACUUGCUUACCAUAUCCCCUUUAACCCUGUGAGCUAGGGUUGUUAGGAACAGAUAAAACUGAGGAAUUGAAGUUCAUCUGAAACUUUAAUAUGCCUGUUUCUAUGAAUUUCGAGUGUGAAAUUUCACAAUUAUCUAACUUAAAGUCAGUGGUCAAAAAUGGUUACUUUAGGGAACAUAGAAGCAUAGUUGAGUUUGAGUAUGAUGACUGGGAAGGGAGGAGAAGUGGAGAGCCAGUGAAUAUGGUUCUUGCAACUUAAAGUGAAAUAGGAGGUUGAUUGAACACUGAUUAUAUUCCAAAAAUUAGAGAAAAUCUAUUUACUUGAGAGAACUAAAGUUGAAUGCUAUGAAACCCUAAUGAUUCCUACUUCAUCCUGCAUUGACCUGAGUGCUGGAGGUGUCUACGUCGACAGGCAACCUUUUAAAAAAUUCUUUGGAGGCAAUCUGUUAUUUAAUUGAUCUGCAUAUUUAUGUUCGCUCCUAUUCACAGUUAUUUACUAUUCACCAAGGCUGCCAACUUUUACAGUUUGUUCCUAAACCUUUGCAGAUAGAUGUGUUUUAUGUAACAGUUAUGGAGUCCAUUAACAUGAAGCACUAAAGCACAAAAAAGAAAUGAAAGAGAUUUAUAAGCAUAUGAAAUGCCCUCACCAGAGACAGUUGAAAUAAUAAAUCCAAAGUCAAAGGAACAUUUGUGAAGUUACUACAAGCACAUUUAUCUACUUCAAAACAUGUUUUGUGGGAC
Balaenoptera ricei (Rice's whale) is the source of this 1094-nucleotide long non-coding RNA. RefSeq lists it as uncharacterized. NCBI's taxonomy places the organism in Eukaryota, Metazoa, Chordata, Mammalia, Artiodactyla, Balaenopteridae. The record is from RefSeq and is a predicted model, not a curated record. The transcript has 3 exons.